CCUACGGGUGGCAGCAGUGAGGAAUAUUGGUCAAUGGGCGGAAGCCUGAACCAGCCACGUAGCGUGCAGGAUGACGGCCCUCCGGGUUGUAAACUUCUUUUAUAUGGGAAUAAAGUGCAGUAUGUAUACUGCUUUUCAUGUACCUUAUGUAUAUGGAUCGGCUAACUCAGUUCCAGCAGCCGCGGUAAUACGGAGGAUCCGAGCGUUAUCCGGAUUUAUUGGGUUUAACGGGAGCGUAGGCGGGUUGUUAAGUCAGUUGUGAAAGUUUGCGGCUCAACCGUAAAAUUGCAGUUGAUACUGGCAUCCUUGAGUACAGUAGAGGUAGGCGGAAUUCGUGGUGUAGCGGUGAAAUGCUUAGAUAUCACGAAGAACUCCGAUUGCGAAGGCAGCCUGCUGGACUGGAACUGACGCUGAUGCUCGAAAGUGUGGGUAUCAAACAGGAUUAGAUACCCGAGUAGUC
This 460-nucleotide ribosomal RNA is filed under the name uncultured bacterium. RNAcentral's name for it is "partial 16S ribosomal RNA". It matches the Rfam family "Bacterial small subunit ribosomal RNA", at positions 338 to 795 of the family's 1533-position model. The record is from RNAcentral.